This 346-nucleotide ribosomal RNA is filed under the name uncultured bacterium. RNAcentral describes it as "partial 16S ribosomal RNA". It matches the Rfam family "Bacterial small subunit ribosomal RNA", at positions 338 to 695 of the family's 1533-position model. The record is from RNAcentral.
CCUACGGGAGGCAGCAGUAGGGAAUUUUCGGCAAUGGGGGGAACCCUGACCGAGCAACGCCGCGUGAACGAAGAAGUUAUUCGUAAUGUAAAGUUCUUUUAACAGGGAAGAAAGAGAAAUUUGACGGUACCUGAAGAAUAAGCCCCGGCUAACUACGUGCCAGCAGCCGCGGUAAGACGUAGGGAGAGAGCGUUAUCCGGAAUUAUUGGGCGUAAAGGGUGCGUAGAUGGCAUAGUAAGUCUUUUGUAAAAAUGCUGGGCUCAACCCAGUAGAGCAAAAGAUACUGGAAGGGUAGAGUAUGACAGAGGAAAGUGGAACGAGAUGUGUAGCGGGAAAAUGCGUAAAU